GAUGAACGCUGGCGGCGUGCCUAAUACAUGCAAGUCGAGCGAACAGACGAGGAGCUUGCUCCUCUGACGUUAGCGGCGGACGGGUGAGUAACACGUGGAUAACCUACCUAUAAGACUGGGAUAACUUCGGGAAACCGGAGCUAAUACCGGAUAAUAUAUUGAACCGCAUGGUUCAAUAGUGAAAGACGGUUUUGCUGUCACUUAUAGAUGGUUCCGUGCCGCAUUAGCUAGUUGGUAAGGUAACGGCUUACCAAGGCAACGAUGCGUAGCCGACCUGAGAGGGUGAUCGGCCACACUGGAACUGAGACACGGACCAGACUCCUACGGGAGGCAGCAGUAGGGAAUCUGCCGCAGUGGGCGAAAGCCUGACGGAGCAACGCCGCGUGAGUGAUGAAGGUCUUCGGAUCGUAAAACUCUGUUAUUAGGGAAGAACAAAUGUGUAAGUAACUAUGCACGUCUUGACGGUACCUAAUCAGAAAGCCACGGCUAACUACGUG
This 497-nucleotide ribosomal RNA is filed under the name uncultured bacterium. Its description in RNAcentral is "partial 16S ribosomal RNA". It matches the Rfam family "Bacterial small subunit ribosomal RNA", at positions 28 to 507 of the family's 1533-position model. The record is from RNAcentral.